AUUCACGCUGGCGGCGUGCCUAAUACAUGCAAGUCGAGCGAACGGACGAGAAGCUUGCUUCUCUGAUGUUAGCGGCGGACGGGUGAGUAACACGUUGAUAACCUACCUAUAAGACUGGGAUAACUUCGGGAAACCGGAGCUAAUACCGGAUAAUAUUUUGAACCGCAUGGUUCCAAAGUGAAAGACGGUCUUGCUGUCACUUAUAGAUGGAUCCGCGCUGCAUUAGCUAGUUGGUAAGGUAACGGCUUACCAAGGCAACGAUGCAUAGCCGACCUGAGAGGGUGAUCGGCCACACUGGAACUGAGACACGGUCCAGACUCCUACGGGAGGCAGCAGUAGGGAAUCUUCCGCAAUGGGCGAAAGCCUGACGGAGCAACGCCGCGUGAGUGAUGAAGGUCUUCGGAUCGUAAAACUCUGUUAUUAGGGAAGAACAUAUGUGUAAGUAACUGUGCACAUCUUGACGGUACCUAAUCAGAAAGCCACGGCUAACUACGUG
Molecule: ribosomal RNA, 496 nt
Filed under: uncultured bacterium
Lineage: Bacteria
Description: partial 16S ribosomal RNA
Rfam family: Bacterial small subunit ribosomal RNA
Source: RNAcentral